This is an RNA transcript of Cebus imitator (Panamanian white-faced capuchin), 4442 nucleotides long. It is a transcript of the gene named roundabout guidance receptor 4, with no coding region annotated. The transcript is spliced from 17 exons. Lineage: Eukaryota; Metazoa; Chordata; Mammalia; Primates; Cebidae. The record is from RefSeq and is a predicted model, not a curated record.
UCUUAAAGGGUCUUUUACUCCAACCAACUUUCCAGGGCCUGAAAAAUACUCCUGCUGAGGAUGCUCCAAUAGUUUCAGUGAUGGGAUAGACCUAAAAAUAAAUACACAAUACUGGCUCAGCUUUACGGAUCAUUCAUACUAUGUCAGGCACUAGAUGCCCCUGGUUUUAUGCUUUCUAUGUUUCAUUACUUUAUCCCUCAAGGCAGGAACUACUAUUAUUAUUUCCAUCUUAUAGAGAAGGAAACAGACUUGCCCAAGGUCUCCACAGACGCUUCUUUCAUUCGUCUCUGAACUGAAUAUGGACACAUCCUGUGGGAAUCUCCCAGCUUGUCCCAGAGUCUCUGAGUCCUUCCUGUCUCCCACCGUACUCCACCCCUGGCCUAUCUGCCCCUGGGGAAAUGGACCAGGGCAUUGCAAUCCACCCCUGCUCCGCUUCGCUCAGCCUCUCCAGCCUGCAGCCCCACUACCCUCUGUCCUCAGCCUCUUGUUGUGUCCUGAGACUCCUGGGGUUUUCAUUCCUCUGUAGCAGGUGGCAAAGGGAUAAGGACUGGGAUCCAGGGAUACAAUUUGAAUAGAGGAUUAAGGCUCUGAUUGGAAUUAUGCUUAGUGUAAGGAUACCCUGUAAGAAAUCCCAGACCAGAUCAUGAGAUAAAGCUUAGGGCUGAAGUUAGUGUCAGGGGCUAUGGCUAAAGGGUUGAGGUCAGAGAGUUUCUCGCCCCUGGUCUCCUCCCAGUUCUCCAAGGCACUGAGGGCCAGGCAGGAAGCAUCGGUUUCCUCAAAGCCGCUUCCCUCCUGGGGCAGAGUCUCGGUCACAAACAACCACCACCAGCCCACCCCGCCCCUCCUUCCCUCUUCACUAUGAGCUCAGAGCAGCGGGACAAAGUGCUCCGGACAAGGACAGAGGACUGAGAGUAGCCAUGGGCUCUGGAGGAGAGAGCCUCCUGGGGAACAGGGGUUCCCUGCCUCUGCUGCUCCUGCUUACCAUGGGAGGCAUGGCUCAGGACUCCCCGCCUCAGAUCCUAGUCCACCCCCAGGACCAGCUGCUCCAGGGCCCUGGCCCUGCCAGGAUGAGCUGCCGAGCCUCUGGUCAGCCACCUCCCACCAUCCGCUGGCUGCUGAAUGGGCAGCCCCUGAGCAUGGUGCCCCCAGACCCACACCACCUCCUGCCGGAUGGGACCCUUCUGCUGCUGCAGCCCCCUGCCCGGGGACACGCCCAUGGUGGCCAGGCCCUGUCCACAGACCUGGGUGUCUACACAUGUGAGGCCAGCAACCGACUGGGCACGGCAGUCAGCAGAGGCGCUCGGCUGUCUGUGGCUGUCCUCCGGGAGGAUUUCCAGAUCCAGCCUCGGGACACGGUGGCGGUGGUGGGUGAGCAGAUGACUCUGGAAUGUGGGCCUCCCUGGGGCCACCCAGAGCCCACAGUUUCUUGGUGGAAAGAUGGGAAACCCCUGGCCCUCCAGCCUGGAAGGCACACAGUGUCCGGGGGGUCCCUGCUCAUGGCAAGAGCAGAGAAGAGUGACGCAGGGACGUACAUGUGUGUGGCCACCAACAGCGCAGGACACAGGGAGAGCCGUGCAGCCCGGGUGUCCAUCCAGGAGCCCCAGGACUACACGGAGCCUGUGGAGCUUCUGGCUGUACGAAUUCAGCUGGAAAAUGUGACGCUGCUGACCCCGGACCCCGCAAAGGGCCCCAAGCCUGGGCCGGCAGUGUGGCUCAGCUGGAAGGUUAGCGGCCCUGCUGCACCUGCCCAAUCCUACACGGCCUUGUUCAGGACCCAGACUGCCCCAGGAGCCCAGGGAGCUCCGUGGGCAGAGGAGCUGCUGGCUGGCUGGCAGAGCGCAGAGCUUGGAGGCCUCCACUGGGGCCAAGACUAUGAGUUCAAAGUGAGACCAUCCUCCGGCCGGGCUCGAGGCCCUGACAGCAACGUGCUGCUCCUGAGGCUGCCGGAAAAAGUGCCCAGUGCCCCACCACAGGAGGUGACCCUAAAACCUGGCAAUGGCAGUGUCCUUGUGAGCUGGGUCCCACCACCUGCUGAAAACCACAAUGGCAUCAUCCGUGGCUACCAGGUCUGGAGCCUGGGCAACACAUCACUACCCCCAGCCAACUGGACUGUAGUUGCUGAGAAGACCCAGCUGGAAAUCGCCACCCACAUGCCAGGCUCCUACUGCGUGCAAGUGGCUGCAGUCACUGGUGCUGGGGCUGGGGAGCCCAGUAGCCCUGUCUGCCUCCUUUUAGAGCAGGCCAUGGAGCGAGCCACCCGAGAACCCAGUGAGCCUCGUCCCUGGACCCUGGAGCAGCUGAGGGCCACCUUGAAGCGGCCAGAGGUCAUCGCCAGCUGUGGCGUGGUGCUCUGGCUGCUGCUUCUGGGCACCGCAGUAUGUAUCCACCGCCGGCGCCGAGCUGGGGUGCACCUGGGCCCAGGUCUGUACAGAUAUACCAGCGAGGACGCCAUCCUAAAACACAGGAUGGAUCACAGUGACUCCCAGUGGUUGGCAGACACUUGGCGUUCCACCUCUGGCUCUCGGGACCUCAGCAGCAGCAGCAGCCUUAGCAGUCGGCUGGGGGCGGACCCCCGGGACCCGCUAGACUGUCGUCGCUCCUUGCUCUCUUGGAACUCCCGAAGCCCUGGCGUGCCCCUGCUUCCAGACACCAGCACUUUUUAUGGCUCCCUCAUCGCUGAGCUGCCCUCCACUCCCCCAGCCAGGCCAAGCCCCAGGGUCCCAGCUGUCAGGUGCCUCCCGCCCCAGCUGGCCCGGCUCUCCAGCCCCUGUUCCAGCUCAGACAGCCUAUGCAGCCAUAGGGGACUCUGUUCUCCACGCUUGUCUCUGGCCCCUGCAGAGGCUUGGAAGGCCAAAAAGAAGCAGGAGUUGCAGCAUGUCAACAGUUCCCCACUGCUCCGGGCCAGCCAUCCCUUGGAGCUCCGGGCCUGCGACUUGGGAAGUAGAGGCUUCAAGAACCUUUCCCAAAGCCCAGGAGCUGUGCCCCAAGCUCUGGCUGCCUGGCAAGGCUUGGGACCGAAACUCCUCAGCGCCUCAAAUGAGCUGGUUACUCGUCCUCUCCCUCCAGCACCCCUCUUUCCUCACAAAACUCCCCCUACUCAGAGUCAACAGACCCAGCCUCCAGUGGCACCACAGACUCUCUCCUCGGUCCUGCUGCCAGCAGCCCCCACCCCCAUCCUUAGGCCCUGCAGUCCCCCAAGUCCCCGGGCCUCUUCACUCUCUGGUCCCAGCCCAGCUUCCAGUCGCCUGUCCAGCUCUUCACUAUCAUCCCUGGGGGAAGAUCAAGACAGUGUGCUGACCCCUGAGGAGGUGGCUCUGUGCUUGGAACUCAGUGAGGGUGAGGAGACUCCCAGGAACAGCGUCUCUCCCAUGCCAAGGGCUCCUUCACCCCCCACCACCUAUGGAUACAUCAGCGUCCCAACAGCCUCAGAGCUUGCGGACGUGGGCAGGACCGGAGGAGGGGUGGGGCCCGAGGGGGGAGUCUUGCUGUGCCCAUCUCGGCCCUGCCUUACCCCCACCCCCAGCGAGGGUUCCUUAGCCAAUGGUUGGGGCUCAGCCUCUGAGGACAAUGCCGCCAGUGCCAGAGCCAGCCUGGUCAGCUCCUCUGAUGGCUCCUUCCUCGCUGAUGCCCACUUUGCCCGGGCCCUGGCAGUGGCCAUGGAUAGCUUUGGUUUUGGUCUAGAGCCCAGGGAGGCAGACUGCGUCUUCACAGGUAUGUGAGGUCACCCCAUCUUACUCCUCACUCAUGCGCCUUGCCUGUCUAACAGCCAUCAUCAUACCCUGACUUGGGUAUCCAGGAAAGGUUGCUCCAGCCUCUUCCAAUCCCUUCUUCUUGCUCUGUCCAUGGCUGGGGCUGAGAAGCCACAGGGCUCACCACUGACAUUCCCAGCAGAGUGGGACCUUUAUCUCCAUGUCAGCAGAAGGUCGUGCAGGGCCCUGGCUCCUUGGGUGUCCCUUCCCCACAUGCCCAGUCAGAUUCCCCCAUCCCCAUUUUACUAAUCCUAACUCUACCCUUUGCCCCCAAGAAAAACAACCAGGCUUGUGGCAAAUGGGAGGGCAAGGAUUGUCCAGGACAGAAGGGCUCAGGAUGGCAGAAAAAGAAUGCCCAGUGAAUGGGUGCGUGAAGGGAGAGUACAGACAGAAGGCCAGAGCUGCCCUGGGAGGAAACAGUGCAAGCACUUCUCCCUAAAGAAACCAAUGGAUCCAGCCCCUGGGGAUGUGGCCUCUGAGACUGAUGGGCUGAAUUGGGGUUAGGUUAUGCUUAGGGCCGAGUACAUGCCCUGAGCUGGUCCUAAGCUUUUUGUCCUAAACUGGUCAACCUCCCACAGACACCUCUACCCUCCCUGACAGAUGCCUCAUCACCUCCCUCCCCAAGGGAUGACAUCUUCCUGACCCCCAACCUCUCCCUGCCCCUGUGGGAGUGGAGGCCAGAUUGGUUGGAAG